This is an RNA transcript of Musa acuminata AAA Group (dessert banana), 3058 nucleotides long. RefSeq lists it as uncharacterized. The record is from RefSeq and is a predicted model, not a curated record. NCBI's taxonomy places the organism in Eukaryota, Viridiplantae, Streptophyta, Magnoliopsida, Zingiberales, Musaceae. The transcript is spliced from 5 exons.
UCAAUCCCCGACUUGGCUACGGAGGCACACAAAUAAGCACACCUUUCCUACUCCUUUCCGCCCCUUCUCGUUCUCUUUCUGCUUCCCAAAUAACUCCCCUCUCCCAAACUCUCAUCGCCAUCCCUUCAAUCGAACGAACAAACGCCCGCUCACUACUCCCUCUCCCUCCCGCCCUAUCCGGUCCCCUCCUCCUCGCCGCUCGACCUCCCGCUCCGACGCGGAUGGGAGACGAGGGCUCCGCCGAGACUCCGGCGACCAGGAAGAGGCCGAGGGACGUCGGGGAUCUGAAGCGGGUGGCGGAGAUCGUCAUGGUCUUGUCGGCCAUGGGCCAGAUGCGGGGCGGCAGGGAGCCCGUGGCGGCCGAGAAGGCACUGGUCGCUGAGGCGAGGGAGAGGCUCGUCACGAUGUGCGAGGGUCUCAAGCCCAAGGAGCUCUUCUCCAGGGAGGCUGUCAGGGUCGUGGUGGAGGAUCUGGGUCUGAAUAGGUCCAAGGAUCCCGUGCUGGGGUUCCGGCCGCCCAAGAUGUCGAUUGCCGAGAAGUUGCUACUCACCAAGAAAAAGAUGGAAGAGUCCAAGGAAACUCACAUGCGCUCAUCAGUUUAUUCGCUUCAACAUCUUCCAGUAAGCUUCGGUGCAAAAUCUGAAUCACAUGGACCCUUGGCACAUGAUGCUUCUAGGUUUAUGCAGGUUAAAAGUCCGAUGGAGACCUCUGCUGGAGGUUUUCAAAUUUCUUCACCGGUAGCACAUGCUCCUGUCCUAACCUCUGCUGCCUCUUCUUUUAAGCAGUCACAUAUUAGUGAUGUGCAGGCUGUUGUUAAUCCUGUAAAACAACCAUCCGGUUCACUUGAAAGGGGUUCUUCUUCAGCACAUGUUAAAUUGAAUGCAAAACCUGGUGGUCCAUCUUAUCUGACACAAGCUCAAGAAAACAUGCAUCAUAAAAUUCCAAUAUCUUCUGUGCAAUCAACACCUGCUGCUGUGUCAAAGUUUGGCCAAGCAAAUAAAUUUCUGGAUCAUAAUUCUGCAAAGUCUGAGGUUACUACUGGUGUGAAUGCUGUCCAAUCUUCCCAUCAGGUGAUGAGAAGUCAUGAAAUUAAGCCUUCUAUAAUUCAACCUGGACCAGGAGGCCUGCAUAUUGUCCAUCAACCUCCUCAAGGCUUGGGACUUGUUCAUACACCUGCUCUUUUUACGAACCAUAAUGACAUUGCUAAAAGCGUGCUGACAAUAUUGCAAGCAAAGGUUUCUGAUCAUCCAAUUUGGACUCCCCCAUCAACCGAGCACAUGAAUGCUACUAUAAAUUGCCAACUAUGCAAGAACAUUAUCAUUGAUAUAGAGUGUUUGCUCAUCUGUGAUGCUUGUGAGAAAGGAAACCACUUGAAAUGUCUUCAAUCAUAUGGUAAUAAAGGUAUUCCUAAAGCAGAAUGGCAUUGUCCGAGAUGCUUGGCAUCAAGUAAUGGAAAGCCAUUGCCACCUAAAUAUGGUCGGGUUACAAGAGCUUCUGUUAGCGCACCAAAGACUGCUGCAAAUGCGAGCGUUCAUGCUUCUUCUAAGAAAACAGAAAGUUUGGACACCAGGGUUAAUGAACAGAAAGCAAUAGCCAAUGACAAUUCUGGUGUUGCUCAACAAGCCUAUUCUUUGAACAUGGAGGACAAUCAUUGCAUGUCAAUUCCAGAUUCAAGGACAACUGGAGGGGAAGUACAAGUGAUUAUGACCAUUAUUGGAAGUAAAAGAGAGGAUGACACACUUAAGGCAAUUGACGUUGAUCCAUUAAAGGAAAUAACCGGGGCUGUAUGUGCCCAUCCAGACAUGCACAGUGAGGAUCUUAACAACAUUGAGGAUAAUAGAUUAUCCUUGGUCGAUGCUAAACCAACCUCCGUGUCUGUUUUGGAGCCAAGUCCUAUGCCAAAAGAUUCCUGUGAGCAUGCACAUGAUAUGGUUGUUGAAAAUAAUAAUUUGUCUGAAGCACCAUUAACACAUGAUUUUGACCAAGUUCAAUUGUCUGGCGAUGUCAAUGCUUCUGCAAUUCAACUGGAUGAAAAUAUCAAAACUGUCAAGUCUGAACCUGAAGCAGCACUUGGUGAAAAGAGAUCACCUGAAUACUUGGAUGGUUGUAGUAAUAGGUUAGCCAAAGAAGGCAGUUGUCAGACCUCUGAUGGUGAUGGAUAUACAAUGAAUCAAAGGGCUCAUUUCAGCACCAGCUGAUGGUGUUGGAUGAUAUUGUUUUAUAUUUUAUCCCCCACGACUGUUUUUUCUUCCAAGUGGUCCUGCAAUUAGGUACUCACACGAGUCACCAAUCAUGAAGCCAACAAAAUUUGGCAUUUUAUGGUCAUACUGUUCACCACAUCUAUCCUAUAGUUUAGGCACCUUAUUGAUCUCUCUGUAACUUAAUGUUUCUGAACUGGCUAACCUGUUCUAUUUAUUGAAAUCAAAGCCUUCGUCGAAUGGGUGUCUGGGUGUCGCAGUUGGUUCCUUCAACUGUUGACCUAGGAUGCCCUACUCGUUCCCAUUACAGAAGUGGGUCUGGUCCUUUUGUUGUAGAAUGGCAGGCUGUUGCAAGGAUCUCACUUUGUUUUCAGAGCAUUCAAUUUCAUAAUUGGGAUCGUUGUACCUUUGCAUGAAGCUUUCCAAGUUAUGAUGAACUGGUUAUUAAAGCAUCGUUAUCAGGUUCUCUGGUGAAACAACACAAUUAAUGAUAUAAAGCAUCGUUGCUUUGGAUUAGAGAUGUUAGUGUUUCCUUAAUGCAAGUGUUAGUGUUCCUCCAGAGCCAAUGCUGUGAUAAGCAAGCUCAAGAUCAUCCUUUAGAAAACCACUCAAGUUGCUGGUUUGAUGCUUCCUCUUGAGGUAAUGGAAGCAUUCACUGUCAUCCACAAACAAAGCUCAAGAUCUUUGUUUAAUUGUUUCUUUUUCAAAAUUUAUCAAAUAUUUAGAUAGAUGUUUAAAAUAAUUAGUUGUUUGUCUUGAUACUUAUAAUAUAAAGAGGCUUCUCUUUCUAUUAUAAGUUGCCUUUACCUAUUUGGCUAUGUUCAUGUUUCUUUUCAGAAAUUUACGAGGAUCUAACUGCU